CCUACGGGUGGCAGCAGUGGGGGAUAUUGCACAAUGGGGGGAACCCUGAUGCAGCGACGCCGCGUGGGUGAAGAAGCGCCUCGGCGCGUAAAGCCCUGUCAGCAGGGAAGAAAAUGACGGUACCUGAAGAAGAAGCCCCGGCUAACUACGUGCCAGCAGCCGCGGUAAUACGUAGGGGGCAAGCGUUAUCCGGCGUUACUGGGUGGAAAGGGGGCGCAGACGGCGAUGCAAGCCAGGAGUGAAAGCCCGGGGCCCAACCCCGGGACUGCUCUUGGAACUGCGUGGCUGGAGUGCAGGAGGGGCAGGCGGAAUUCCUGGUGUAGCGGUGAAAUGCGUAGAUAUCAGGAGGAACACCGGUGGCGAAGGCGGACUGCUGGACUGCAACUGACGUUGAGGCCCGAAAGCGUGGGGAGCAAACAGGAUUAGAUACCCGAGUAGUC
Molecule: ribosomal RNA, 440 nt
Filed under: uncultured bacterium
Lineage: Bacteria
Description: partial 16S ribosomal RNA
Rfam family: Bacterial small subunit ribosomal RNA
Source: RNAcentral